CAUAUUUAGGAAGAUUGCACGCGUUCGUUGCGAAAAAAUCCACCCGAGUUUCGCUACCCGGCAAUAGUGCAUUCGGGUGCCGAAAUGCACCCGUUUUGCAUCGUUUUUCGUCCCGGAACCGAUUGCUCAAAAACACUCCCAAACAUGUUCUAGGGUCUAAUUAGGAAGAUUGCAUGCGUUCGUUGCGAAAAAAUCCACCCGAGUUUCGCUACCCGGCAAUAGUGCAUUCGGGUGCCGAAAUGCACCCGUUUUGCAUCGUUUUU
Molecule: long non-coding RNA, 263 nt
Filed under: Setaria italica (foxtail millet)
Lineage: Eukaryota; Viridiplantae; Streptophyta; Magnoliopsida; Poales; Poaceae
Description: long non-coding RNA (SITA_LNC007513)
Source: RNAcentral